Molecule: ribosomal RNA, 496 nt
Filed under: uncultured bacterium
Lineage: Bacteria
Description: bacterial SSU rRNA
Rfam family: Bacterial small subunit ribosomal RNA
Source: RNAcentral
AGCGAACGUUAGCGGCGGGCCUAACACAUGCAAGUCGAACGAGAAAAUCCCUUCGGGGGUGAGUACAGUGGCGCACGGGUGAGGAACGCGUAGGUAAUCUACCCUCUGGCCGGGGGGACAACACUCCGAAAGGAAUGCUAAUACCGCGUAAGACCACACUUACUAAGGUGAGAGUGGUGAAAGGUGCCUCAAAGCACCACCAGAGGAUGAGCCUGCGUCCCAUCAGCUUGUUGGUGAGGUAACGGCUUACCAAGGCGAAGACGGGUAGCUGGUCUGAGAGGAUGAUCAGCCACACUGGUACUGGAACACGGACCAGACUCCUACGGGAGGCAGCAGUGAGGAAUAUUGGGCAAUGGGCGAAAGCCUGACCCAGCCACGCCGCGUGUGUGAUGAAGGCCUUCGGGUCGUAAAGCACUGUGGGGAGAGACGAAACAGCGCAGUAGGAAAUGACUGCGCCUUGACGGUACCUCCUUAGCAAGCACCGGCUAACUCUGUG